Long non-coding RNA from Plectropomus leopardus (leopard coralgrouper), 850 nucleotides. RefSeq lists it as uncharacterized. The record is from RefSeq and is a predicted model, not a curated record. NCBI's taxonomy places the organism in Eukaryota, Metazoa, Chordata, Actinopteri, Perciformes, Serranidae.
CGCAUGUUGAGGACGUCCGGUGUGUGUCAUGGAGUACGCAGCGAGUCCUGCUGUAAAUCUGGUGUAAAUGCCACGAUUUAAUCUUAACAACUCGAUUAUUCAACCGCGCCGGCGUUGAUAAGCUGCUCCUCCAUCAGGACACGAGCUGUGAACCCGAAAGAGUUAACUUUUGUCGAGUUAUUGACGCUUGAAAACUGCGGCUGUUUGUUUUUUUGGGAAGCACCAGAUCUGCUGCUGAACUUGGUGAUGGCGAGCCCAGCCCAGCGAGACUAUGGACGAUCGUGGACGCAGUGAGACAGACCGGAGGACCUGUUCACAGAGGACGUCUGCUUAAUCACUCACUCUGAUUCCAGAUAAGAACACACAUACACACUACCUGGGAAGUAGCAUUUAUGAACAGCAAACACACUUACGGACACAAAAACUGAACUAUUGAAGCACCCGAAACCCCAAACUUAAAGGAACAAAGUGAGUUGGAGAGCCCAACUCACAGAGACUCAUGCUUUUGUUUUUUUUUUUUUGUUUUUUUUCAUACAAAAAGCAGUACUGUGAAUGUUUCACUAUUACUGUGAAGCAAUAAAUGUGUCAUCUGUUUAACAUAAUAUCAGCUCUCUCUGUGAGUCAUUUAAGUUAUUGCUCCUUUCAGUAGAUGUUAGUGUCUCUUCUACCAGGUUAGGACUGUAGUGUUACAUUAAGUGUUCAAGAGAGCCUUUUUAAAUGUUUUAGUGCAGGCUUUCCGUCAUGUUCAUUUUUUUGUAGCGGUCCACCACAAUAACAUAAUUUGUGGCAUUUUAUUGCUGUUCUGUUCUCUGAAUUGGAACCUGUUGGAAUAAAUGCGUCCUACCAUUCA